AGCAGUCGAGAGGCUUCGGCAAUGGGGGAAACCCUGACCGAGCGACGCCGCGUGAGGGAUGAAGCCCCUCGGGGUGUAAACUUCUUUUCUGGGGGAAGAAACACAUGGGGUCCAAUAGGCCUCGUGCUUGACGGUACUUCAGGAAUAAGCUCCGGCUAACUCCGUGCCAGCAGCCGCGGUAAUACGGGGGGAGCAAACGUUGUUCGGAAUCACUGGGCGUAAAGGGCGCGUAGGCGGCCCCGCAAGUGGUGUGUGAAAUGCCCUGGCUCAACCAGGGAACUGCGCACCAAACUGCGGAGCUUGAGGGCAGUAGAGGAAGCUGGAAUUCCUGGUGUAGCGGUGAAAUGCGUGGAUAUCAGGAGGAACACCGUUGGCGAAGGCGAGCUUCUGGGCUGUUCCUGACGCUGAGGCGCGAAAGCUGGGGGAGCAAACAGGAUUAGAUACCCUGGUAGUCCCAGCCGUAAACGGUGAACACUAGGUGUGGGGGGUGUCGACCCUUUCCGUGCCGUAGCUAACGCAUUAAGUGUUCCGCCUGGGGAGUACGGUCGCAAGGCUGAAACUCAAAUGAAUUGACGG
RNAcentral lists this ribosomal RNA (576 nucleotides) under uncultured bacterium. RNAcentral's name for it is "bacterial SSU rRNA". It matches the Rfam family "Bacterial small subunit ribosomal RNA", at positions 350 to 916 of the family's 1533-position model. The record is from RNAcentral.